CGCUUUCAGUAGUCCGUGAUGCGUGACAAUAUUUAGUUUUUUUCGAAUAUUGCACUAGUCCCGGCCUAUUGAGGGCGC
This is a non-coding RNA of Tribolium castaneum (red flour beetle), 78 nucleotides long. Lineage: Eukaryota; Metazoa; Arthropoda; Insecta; Coleoptera; Tenebrionidae. The record is from RefSeq and is marked provisional.